RNAcentral lists this small nuclear RNA (104 nucleotides) under Salvator merianae (Argentine black and white tegu). The record is from RNAcentral. Lineage: Eukaryota; Metazoa; Chordata; Lepidosauria; Squamata; Teiidae.
GUGCUCGCUGUGGCAGCACAUAUACUAAAACUGUAACAAUAUAGAGAUUAGCAUGGCCCCUGCGCAAGGACGACGUGCAAAUUUGUGAAGCGUUCCGUGUUUUA